UACAGAGGUCUCGAGCGUUAGGCGGAAUCACUGGGCUUAAAGCGUGUGUAGGCGGAUCGGUAAGUACCUUGUGAAAUCCCACAGCUUAACUGUGGAACUGCUUGGUAUACUGCCAGUCUUGAGCCAGCUAGGGGCUACCGGAACAAAUGGUAGAGCGGUGAAAUGCGUAGAUAUCAUUUGGAACGCCAAUGGUGAAAACAGGUAGCUGGGGCUGUGCUGACGCUGAGACACGAAAGCCAGGGGAGCGAACGGG
This 253-nucleotide ribosomal RNA is filed under the name uncultured bacterium. Its description in RNAcentral is "partial 16S ribosomal RNA". It matches the Rfam family "Bacterial small subunit ribosomal RNA", at positions 524 to 776 of the family's 1533-position model. The record is from RNAcentral.